AGUGAACGCUGGCGGUAGGCCUAACACAUGCAAGUCGAACGGCAGCACAGUAAGAGCUUGCUCUUACGGGUGGCGAGUGGCGGACGGGUGAGGAAUACAUCGGAAUCUACUUUUUCGUGGGGGAUAACGUAGGGAAACUUACGCUAAUACCGCAUACGACCUACGGGUGAAAGCAGGGGAUCUUCGGACCUUGCGCGAUUGAAUGAGCCGAUGUCGGAUUAGCUAGUUGGCGGGGUAAAGGCCCACCAAGGCGACGAUCCGUAGCUGGUCUGAGAGGAUGAUCAGCCACACGGGAAGUGAGAAACGGUACAGACUCCUACGGGAGGCAGCAGUGGGGAAUAUUGGACAAUGGGGGCAAGCCUGAUCCAGCCAUACCGCGUGGGUGAAGAAGGCCUUAGGGUUGUAAAGCCCUUUUGUUGGGAAAGAAAAGCAGCAGGUUAAUACCCCGCUGUUCUGACGGUACCCAAAGAAUAAGCACCGGCUAACUUCGUG
RNAcentral lists this ribosomal RNA (492 nucleotides) under uncultured bacterium. RNAcentral's name for it is "partial 16S ribosomal RNA". It matches the Rfam family "Bacterial small subunit ribosomal RNA", at positions 29 to 507 of the family's 1533-position model. The record is from RNAcentral.